GCUUGACUGUAGCUUGUAAUUGGGUUCGGGCUUUUUUUGCGCAGCCUAGGUGGGAGGCAAUGAUGAUUUUUUUCCGGAAAAAUUUGAGCCAUUCGUGAGAGACCACUCUGAAAAGGCUAGAAUCCUAAUAAUGAUCCUUGAAUCAGGGCAUUUGACAGUUGCAGGUGGGCAGUUUUACUGGGGCGGUAUUCUCCUAAAAAGUAACGGAGGGGUGCAAAGGUUCCCUCAAGCUGGACGGAAAUCAGCUUAAGAGUGUAAAGGCAAAAGGGAGCUUGACUGCAAGACCUACAAGUCGAGCAGGGGCGAAAGCCGGCCUUAGUGAUCCGACGGUACCACGUGGAAGGGCCGUCGCUCAACGGAUAAAAGUUA
Molecule: ribosomal RNA, 369 nt
Filed under: uncultured alga
Lineage: Eukaryota
Description: partial 23S ribosomal RNA
Rfam family: Bacterial large subunit ribosomal RNA
Source: RNAcentral